UACAGAGGAGCCAAGCGUUGUCCGGAUUGACUGGGCGUAAAGCGCACGCAGGCGGAUGCGCGCGUGGGGUGUGAAAUCUGGCCGCUUAACGGCCAGGCGCCAUCCCAUACGGCGCGUCUGGAGUGAUGCAGAGGUCGGUGGAAUUGCCGGUGUAGUGGUGAAAUGCGUAGAGAUCAGCAGGAACACCCAGGGGGAAACCAGCCGACUGGGCAUCUACUGACGCUGAGGUGCGAGAGCGUGGGGAGCGAACCGG
RNAcentral lists this ribosomal RNA (253 nucleotides) under uncultured bacterium. RNAcentral describes it as "partial 16S ribosomal RNA". It matches the Rfam family "Bacterial small subunit ribosomal RNA", at positions 524 to 776 of the family's 1533-position model. The record is from RNAcentral.